UUGAAUUGCGCUGGAGUUUAUUAUUCUUCUGUAUGCAAGUUAUAGUAAUUUUUCACUGGACCUAGCUCAAAGGGAAGUUUGAAAUAAUUAUAUGGUUCAGCUAAAUGACAAAUUGUUCUUCUGUAUGCAAGUUAUAGUAAUUUUUCACUGGACCUAGCUCAAAGGGAAGUUUGAAAUAAUUAUAUGGUUCAGCUAAAUGACAAAUUAGCUGCUUUUGCCCACUUUGGAACUAUCAAAUCUACAUAUAAACUGGUGGUCAAUUUGUUGUAGUGGUCUUAUCCUUUAUUCGAACUGUUGUUUAGUGGCGGUUGAAGCUUGC
This 319-nucleotide long non-coding RNA is filed under the name Nicotiana benthamiana. RNAcentral's name for it is "long non-coding RNA (NBEN_LNC009114)". Lineage: Eukaryota; Viridiplantae; Streptophyta; Magnoliopsida; Solanales; Solanaceae. The record is from RNAcentral.